AAUCAACGCUGGCGGCGUGCCUCAGACAUGCAAGUCGAACGAUUAAAGCUCUCUUCGGAGAGUGUAUAGAGUGGCGCACGGGUGAGUAACACGUAAGUAAUCUACCCUCGAGUGGGGAAUAACGUCCGGAAACGGACGCUAAUACCGCAUAAUGCAGCGGCACCGCAAGGUGACAGUUGUUAAAGGAGAAAUUCGCUUGAGGAGGAGCUUGCGGCAGAUAGCUUGUUGGUAAGGUAACGGCUUACCAAGGCUACGAUCUGUAACCGGUCUUAGAGGACGGUCGGUCACACUGACACUGAAUAACGGGUCAGACUCCUACGGGAGGCAGCAGUCGGGAAUUUGGGCAAUGGGCGAAAGCCUGACCCAGCAACGCCGCGUGAAGGAUGAAGUAUUUCGGUAU
RNAcentral lists this ribosomal RNA (400 nucleotides) under uncultured bacterium. RNAcentral's name for it is "bacterial SSU rRNA". It matches the Rfam family "Bacterial small subunit ribosomal RNA", at positions 32 to 424 of the family's 1533-position model. The record is from RNAcentral.